CCAACUCUUCCUCUUUUUACUUCCCCUAUGGCUCGUCACUCCUUGCUCUUAGCCCUCCUCCUCUUCGCCGCCGUGGCCACCGCCGCGAUGGCGGUGGCCGCGUCCGACGCCGACGACAUCCUGAUCCGUCAGGUGGUGCCAGAUGUUGGCGAAGCCGAAGAGGAGGACAACCUGCUGAACGCCGAGCACCACUUCGCGAGCUUCAAGGCCAAGUUCGCCAAGACCUACGCCACCAAGGAGGAGCACGAUCAUCGCUUCGGCGUCUUCAAGUCCAACCUCCGCAGAGCCAGGCUGCACGCCAAGCUCGACCCCUCCGCCGUCCACGGCGUCACCAAAUUCUCCGAUCUAACUCCGGCCGAGUUCCGCCGCCAGUUCCUCGGCCUCAAGCCGCUCCGCUUCCCGGCGCACGCCCAGAAGGCGCCCAUCCUCCCCACCAAGGAUCUCCCCAAGGAUUUCGAUUGGCG
This 464-nucleotide long non-coding RNA is filed under the name Glycine max (soybean). RNAcentral describes it as "long non-coding RNA (GMAX_LNC004003)". Lineage: Eukaryota; Viridiplantae; Streptophyta; Magnoliopsida; Fabales; Fabaceae. The record is from RNAcentral.